GGGUGUAUAGCUCAAUUGGUAGAGCAUUGGGCUUUGAACCUAGUGGUCGUAGGCUCAAGUCCUGUUAUACCCA
Solanum stenotomum is the source of this 73-nucleotide non-coding RNA. Lineage: Eukaryota; Viridiplantae; Streptophyta; Magnoliopsida; Solanales; Solanaceae. The record is from the annotation of a RefSeq genome assembly.